AAGCUACGAUGCGAAGUCGAACGAUGAAGCCUUUCGGGGUGGAUUAGUGGCGAACGGGUGAGUAACACGUGGGCAAUCUGCCCUUCACUCUGGGACAAGCCCUGGAAACGGGGUCUAAUACCGGAUACUACUCCUGCCCGCAUGGGUGGGGGUUGAAAGCUCCGGCGGUGAAGGAUGAGCCCGCGGCCUAUCAGCUUGUUGGUGGGGUAAUGGCCCACCAAGGCGACGACGGGUAGCCGGCCUGAGAGGGCGACCGGCCACACUGGGACUGAGACACGGCCCAGACUCCUACGGGAGGCAGCAGUGGGGAAUAUUGCACAAUGGGCGAAAGCCUGAUGCAGCGACGCCGCGUGAGGGAUGACGGCCUUCGGGUUGUAAACCUCUUUCAGCAGGGAAGAAGCGAAAGUGACGGUACCUGCAGAAGAAGCGCCGGCUAACUACGUGCCAGCAGCCGCGGUAAUACGUAGGGCGCAAGCGUUGUCCGGAAUUAUUGGGCGUAAAGAGCUCGUAGGCGGCUUGUCGCGUCGGAUGUGAAAGCCCGGGGCUUAACCCCGGGUCUGCAUUCGAUACGGGCAGGCUAGAGUGUGGUAGGGGAGAUCGGAAUUCCUGGUGUAGCGGUGAAAUGCGCAGAUUUCAGGAGGAACACCGGUGGCGAAGGCGGAUCUCUGGCCAUUACUGACGCUGAAGAGCGAAGCCGUGGGGAGCGAAAGGAUUAGAUACCCUGGUAGUCACGCCUAACGUUGGAACUAGGUUUGGCACAUUCACGGUUCGUCGGGCCCAACUAUCAU
RNAcentral lists this ribosomal RNA (788 nucleotides) under Streptomyces sp. Schreyahn_Kolonie_Aster_10. Its description in RNAcentral is "bacterial SSU rRNA". It matches the Rfam family "Bacterial small subunit ribosomal RNA", at positions 48 to 858 of the family's 1533-position model. The record is from RNAcentral. Lineage: Bacteria; Bacillati; Actinomycetota; Actinomycetes; Kitasatosporales; Streptomycetaceae.